This 207-nucleotide ribosomal RNA is filed under the name uncultured bacterium. RNAcentral's name for it is "partial 16S ribosomal RNA". It matches the Rfam family "Bacterial small subunit ribosomal RNA", at positions 568 to 774 of the family's 1533-position model. The record is from RNAcentral.
CGUGCAGGCGGUUUGGUAAGUUGGAUGUGAAAGCUCCUGGCUCAACUGGGAGAGGCCGUUCAAUACUGCCGGACUAGAGGACGGUAGAGGAAGGUAGAAUUCCCGGUGUAGUGGUGAAAUGCGUAGAUAUCGGGAGGAAUACCAGUGGCGAAGGCGGCCUUCUGGGCCGUUCCUGACGCUAAGACGCGAAAGCAUGGGUAGCGAACG